GAUGAAGAACGCAGCGAAAUGCGAUAAGUAAUGUGAAUUGCAGAAUUCAGUGAAUCAUCGAAUCUUUGAACGCACAUUGCGCCCUCUGGUAUUCCGGGGGGCAUACCUGUUCGAGCGUCAUUAUAACCACUCAAGCUCUCGCUUGGUAUUGGGGCUCGCGGUUCCGCGGCCCCUAAAAUCAGUGGCGGUGCCUGUCGGCUCUACGCGUAGUAAUACUCCUCGCGAUUGAGUCCGGUAGGUCUACUUGCCAGCAACCCCCAAUUUUUACAGGUUGACCUCGGAUCAGGUAGGGAUACCCGCUGAACUUAAGCAUAUCAAUAAGCGGAGGA
This 329-nucleotide unclassified non-coding RNA is filed under the name soil metagenome. RNAcentral's name for it is "partial contains 5.8S ribosomal RNA, internal transcribed spacer 2, and large subunit ribosomal RNA". The stretch from base 1 to 120 matches the Rfam family "5.8S ribosomal RNA", at positions 35 to 154 of the family's 154-position model. The record is from RNAcentral.